This is a small nuclear RNA of Jaculus jaculus (lesser Egyptian jerboa), 110 nucleotides long. The record is from Ensembl. NCBI's taxonomy places the organism in Eukaryota, Metazoa, Chordata, Mammalia, Rodentia, Dipodidae.
UUCAUUUAUUUGCAAGAAAAGAGAUAGAGGUGCUUGGAAUGAUACUGACAAGAUUAGCAUGGCCCCUGCGCAAGGAUGACUUGCAAAUUCGUGAAGCACUCCAUUUUCUU